CAUUUAGACACAUGCUGGAUACUCUGUAAAUCAGUCCUGGGCUUGAUUUCACAGAACUUCCAUGUGGCAUUUAGAUAUGGGACUCUAGAAACACCUGUAACUCAUACGCCUCCUCCUCCUAACUCUUAGUUUCUGUGGAAAAAAACCUGGGUAUCAGUCACAAAUUGGAACUGUCUUCAAGGGAAGCCGUGUAAGAAUAAUGAGGGGUCAGUAUCCCUGAACCUUAUAUUUUCCAGCAGAUAAAUACAGACAUAGCCUAAAGGUAGUGGUCAAUGAAAAAUUAUGAAGUACAUGAAAGAAAAACAUGAAAUUCAAAAUAAACUUAUCUGGGCUAGUUCCAGUUAGGGAAACAAUGUUAGGCAAUUCUUUAAGAUACAUAUAUAUUUAAAUUGCUUCUUCCAUUCUCUUUUUAAUGUUUUUUUCAGAAAGUGAAAAGCAGCAAGUGAAACAAUGCAUUGUACAAAAGAAGCUACUGAGACAAACAUUUAAGAUCUUAUCAAACACAGAUCUAAGGCUUAUUCUCGGUGAUGCAUUGAGACUACAAGCAGUGACAGAGACUGAACUAGGCUGACCACUGUUCUGGAGCCUACAGUGAGGAUCCACAGCAAAGAUGUGGAGCUUGCAAAUCACAUGGACACAGAGAGACUUCUGUGAGAAAUUGAACAGAUCAGUCAAAUUCCAGAGAUUAUGGAAAGAGUCUUAAUACAGAGAGGGGAAAAAAAAAAAAAAGCGAACAAACAAGAAAAACAAACAAACAAACAAACAACAACAACAGCAACAAAACAAUUCAGUGCCUGAAAUCAGUCAAAAGGGGCAGAUUGUGUAUAGUGCUUGUAAAAAUGCUUGUAAAAGUCUUAUAUGGCCACUGCAAUAUUUCUUCAUUAAAAAAAGAAAUACUAUUGUUCAUAUUCUAAUAAGGAAUGGUGAUUUUUGAUUUAAAAUCUCUGUUAGUCAUUUAUGGGGAGCCAA
RNAcentral lists this long non-coding RNA (969 nucleotides) under Gallus gallus (chicken). Its description in RNAcentral is "lncRNA (ENSGALG00010006199.1)". Lineage: Eukaryota; Metazoa; Chordata; Aves; Galliformes; Phasianidae. The record is from RNAcentral.